GAAUGACGUGGAAAACACAACGGGAACAGGCACGAGAAGAGUCCCCAGAAGUUAUUUAUGAGCAGCCUGGAAAGCAAAAUAUUUUCAGAUUAAAAAGGAAAACGGCAUCCACUGCUCUCCCUGAGGUGUGUCCUUGCAGCAGGGAUUUGUCAGGAGCCUGCACUGAGCCGUCUCUGCGCGGCUCAUGGAGAACCAGGAUGGUUUUCCCCUACAUCCACGGGGAAUUUUGGCACAAAAGUGGGCUUGUUUUAAGUGGCCUGGGCCAGGCUCUUCCUUCCAUGGCUUCUUUGGAGCCAACCAAAACCAAGGUUGAAUUUGGGGGUGGUUCCUGUAGUGUUAGAGACUGCGGUCCCCAAAAUCCGUCAUUGCUCUGGAGAGCUGCUGCUGGAGGGGAUUUUGGAUUCCUGCAGCAUCUCCCAGCGCUUGUCAGGGCUCUACAAACACACAUUUCUGGUCUUUCUUUCGAGUAUUCCCUCUCUCCAGUUUGGAUCCUUACAUGUAGUCUCUUUGCAGGCACUCCUCAGACAUUUCCAGCUUGUUUUCACUUCUUAUUUUCAAAUAUAUUUGUAUAAAGGUGGAUAUAGUUUGGUCACAAUGAUUUGGGAACUCCAAACAUCUCGUGUACAAUUAACGGGGAGACAAAGAUCAGGCUGAGGAAGGUGAAAACGAGCUGGGAGCUCCCUGGUUGUGCCCUCCCAUCCCCACAUCUUGCACCAAGCUGGUUUUCACACCAGAGAGGAAUUUUUUCCAGUCAGUUUUUAGGACAGGGAUUGCCUGACUCCAGUCAGGCUCAUUUCCAUCUUGGUGGCUGCUGGAGCACCUGAUAAUCCCAGUCCUGGAGUGUGAGAAACGAGUCUUACUCUUUAAAAUUUUAAAAGUUUCAUAAGGGAUAAAAAAGGAAUUUUACAGCGCUGGGUGCAUAUCCAGAGUUAGAGGCACUCUGGUUAACUAUAACUCUUCUUAUAUACAUUUUAUUGCAUUGAUUAAAUGUAUAUUAAUGAAGAUUAUACAUAUUCAAACUUGGUUUUUUUGAGUUCUUUUAUGUGUUUCUGGGAAUUCUUUAGCUUGGUUUGGCUCCUGACCUGUCGUGCAAAAGUGUAAUUUGAUUUUUGAGAGUCGCUAUUUCUUCACAAUGACAAAUGAGGAGUUACUGAUAAUCAAAUGCUCAGUGGCAGAAGCCUUCACAUCUUCUUUUUUGAUGUUAUUUGUGUGGUUCUUUUAGUGUUGUCUAAUCAUACAGGGUUUUUUAACUACAAUAGUUUUAACUAUUUCCACAAAUUUGAGUUAUUCUCACUAUUGUCAGCUACAAAAGCAUCAGCUACUUCUGAAAAAAAUUAAAAUGCACAACACAGUUUUUAUUUAAUAUUUUGCAAAAGCCUAAACUAUAAUAUAUGUUAAUCACACAAAUAUAUUUAUAUAUAUGAGCUACACAGGGCCAGGACUUUGGCCACAAAAGCUGACAAAUUAUACUAUAUUAAAACCAGUGAAUAUAUUUAAUAUACCCACACUGUUUUACCCUUUAUCUAGCACACCAGAAUCACUGAGUUUUCCCAGUUUCCUCACACCCCUUUCUGUGGCCUUUAGCCCAAAUUCCUGAGGGAAUUUGAAUGCUGAUUUCCCAUGUGAGGAGCUUACAUUUCUGCAGCCAGGCUAAGGUUUAAUUUGCUUUCUCAGCAAGAUCUCAAAUCAAAGAUUGAUCAGAGAUUGAUCAGAGAUUGAUAAUCCUGUAGCUAAACAAGAUAUUCACACUGCUCGAAGCCCCUGCACACGUUUCUGCAGUGGAAUCCCACCCUGAGCUGCCCUCUCAGGUGACUGAUCCCAGCACUGAUGCAGAUGUUCAGAUUUGGGGAAGAUCCAAAGUUUGAGAAGGAAAACUGCAGCUUGGAGGUGUUAAUUGUCACCUCGUGCUGAUGAAAGGGCAGCAGCCUGGGGAAGGGAGGAAAGCAACAAGAAUAACAGGUUUAAAACGUGCAACAAUAGUAAAUAUUAAAUUUAUUAUUAAAAUAAAUAUUAAAUUAAAUAUUAAAAUAAACA
Molecule: long non-coding RNA, 2034 nt
Filed under: Cyanistes caeruleus (blue tit)
Lineage: Eukaryota; Metazoa; Chordata; Aves; Passeriformes; Paridae
Description: lncRNA (ENSCCEG00000004319.1)
Source: RNAcentral